RNAcentral lists this ribosomal RNA (488 nucleotides) under Parabacteroides distasonis. Its description in RNAcentral is "partial 23S ribosomal RNA". It matches the Rfam family "Bacterial large subunit ribosomal RNA", at positions 1 to 534 of the family's 2925-position model. The record is from RNAcentral. Lineage: Bacteria; Pseudomonadati; Bacteroidota; Bacteroidia; Bacteroidales; Tannerellaceae.
GUUGUAUGGUUAAGUGACUAAGCGUACACGGUGGAUGCCUUGGCAGUUGGAGGCGAUGAAGGACGUAUUAACUUGCGAUAAGCCUAGUCAAGCUAGUAAAAAGCACUUGAGACUAGGAUUUCCGAAUGGGGAAACCCACCUGCUUGCAGGUAUCGUUAACUGAAUACAUAGGUUAACGAGGCGAACGCGGAGAACUGAAACAUCUAAGUACCCGUAGGAAAAGAAAUCAACCGAGAUUCCGGAAGUAGCGGCGAGCGAAACCGGAACAGCCCUUAAGCUUAUUAUGUGUUAAUGGAAGGCGCUGGAAAGCGCCACGAUACAGGGUGAUAGUCCCGUACAUGAAAAGACAUUUUAAGUGAAAUCGAGUAGGUCGGAGCACGUGAAACUUUGACUGAAUAUAGGUGGACCAUCAUCUAAGGCUAAAUACUCCCAACUGACCGAUAGUGAACCAGUACCGUGAGGGAAAGGCGAAAAGAACCCCUGUGAGG